AGAGUUUGAUCAUGGCUCAGGAUAAACGCUGGCGGCGUGCCUAACACAUGCAAGUCGAACGCCCUGCGCAAGCAGGGAGUGGCGGACGGGUGAGGAACACGUGGGUAUCUACCCAAAAGUGAGGAAUACCGGCGAGAAAUCGCCGACAAUACCGCAUACGAUCGCGAGAUCAAAGCCCGCAAGGGCGCUUUUGGAUGAGC
RNAcentral lists this ribosomal RNA (200 nucleotides) under uncultured bacterium. Its description in RNAcentral is "partial 16S ribosomal RNA". It matches the Rfam family "Bacterial small subunit ribosomal RNA", at positions 8 to 230 of the family's 1533-position model. The record is from RNAcentral.